GCCAGGCAUAGUGGCACAUGCCUGUAGUCCAAGCUACUUGGGAGGCUGAGACAGGAGGAUCCUUUGAGUCCAGGAGUUUGAGACUGCACUGAGUUACGAUCGUGCCACUGCAGUCCUGCCUGGGCAACAGAGUGAGACCCUGUCUCUA
Molecule: unclassified non-coding RNA, 148 nt
Organism: Pongo abelii (Sumatran orangutan)
Lineage: Eukaryota; Metazoa; Chordata; Mammalia; Primates; Hominidae
Rfam family: Metazoan signal recognition particle RNA
About the family: The signal recognition particle (SRP) is a universally conserved ribonucleoprotein. It is involved in the co-translational targeting of proteins to membranes.
Source: Ensembl